UUUAUGUAUUGUCGUGUUUUCUAUUUACUUACUUACAAUGAUGGAUUUCAAAUCUUUUAUUUUUCUCAUACUACUGUCUGGCGUGGUUCUCAUAUCUGUAGUUGUGGCUGAUGAACCAGAUCCUGAUCCACCAAGUAUGUACCUUGGAAUCAACAUCAUUUUAUUUGUUUAUCAACUUUGUUUAUGAUUUUUGUGAAUUAAAUGUGUGAAUGAUACUGAUAAAAGAUUUUAGAAAAAACAUUCAUAUGAUAAAUUUUUAUAACCACUCUCCAAAUGAAUAUAUUACGUGUAUGAUUAAACUUUGUUGUUACAAUAACUUAAUUAUGUAACUUGUUGAUGAAGGUCCAAAGAAAAACGUCAAUGAAGACCUUAAGGGAUGUUUCAAUCGUGAAAAAGGGGGAAGGAAGAUGAUUUUGGUUCCACUUCAUGAUGAAAACUGCAAGGAAAACAUAGGCGCAGAAUAUGGUGAUAGCAUAUUUGGUGAAAUUGGCGACGGUGGCGUUCAAGGAAGAGAAAAUAUAGGUGGUAUAGGGAAAGGUGGAAGUGUUAAUGAUGGAAUAGAUCAUGGUGGUGGAAAAAGUGGUAGCGGAGGAGAUUAUGGAGAUGGAACUGGAGUAGGAGAUGGAGAAAGUGUUGGAAGCAGAGAUUACAGUAAUGGAAGAAGUGGAGAAAACGUCAAUACAAGUGGAGGAGGUGGUGGAAGCGAAGGAGGAGGCGGAGGAUAUUAGUGCAAUGGUAAAUGAGACUUCUAUGAUUUAUGACAAAUAUAAAAAGAGAAUAUAUGCUCUCUUCAAGUUUCUUUAUCCUUAAAUGUAUGUCAUAAUUAUA
This is a long non-coding RNA of Vicia villosa (hairy vetch), 828 nucleotides long. RefSeq lists it as uncharacterized. The transcript is spliced from 2 exons. Lineage: Eukaryota; Viridiplantae; Streptophyta; Magnoliopsida; Fabales; Fabaceae. The record is from RefSeq and is a predicted model, not a curated record.